RNAcentral lists this ribosomal RNA (506 nucleotides) under uncultured bacterium. Its description in RNAcentral is "partial 16S ribosomal RNA". It matches the Rfam family "Bacterial small subunit ribosomal RNA", at positions 30 to 523 of the family's 1533-position model. The record is from RNAcentral.
AUUGAACGCUGGCGGCAGGCCUAACACAUGCAAGUCGAACGGCAGCGGGGGAUAGCUUGCUAUCCUGCCGGCGAGUGGCGGACGGGUGAGUAAUGCAUGGGGAGCUGCCCAGUCGAGGGGGAUAACAACUGGAAACGGUUGCUAAUACCGCAUACGCCCUGAGGGGGAAAGGUGGGGAACUUCGGUGCUACCGCGAUUGGAUGCGCCCAUGUGGGAUUAGCUAGUUGGUGAGGUAACGGCUCACCAAGGCGACGAUCUCUAGCUGGUCUGAGAGGAUGACCAGCCACACUGGAACUGAGACACGGUCCAGACUCCUACGGGAGGCAGCAGUGGGGAAUAUUGCACAAUGGGGGAAACCCUGAUGCAGCCAUGCCGCGUGUGUGAAGAAGGCCUUCGGGUUGUAAAGCACUUUCAGUCAGGAGGAAGGGGUGAUGGCUAAUAUCCAUCAUCAUUGACGUUACUGACAGAAGAAGCACCGGCUAACUCCGUGCCAGCAGCCGCCGUAA